CCUACGGGUGGCAGCAGUGAGGAAUAUUGGUCAAUGGGCGGGAGCCUGAACCAGCCAAGUCGCGUGCGGGAUGACGGCCCUAUGGGUUGUAAACCUCUUUUGCCGGGGAGCAAAGUGCCGCACGUGUGCGGUUUGGAGAGUACCCGGAGAAAAAGCAUCGGCUAACUCCGUGCCAGCAGCCGCGGUAAUACGGAGGAUGCGAGCGUUCUCCGGAUUUAUUGGGUUUAAAGGGUGCGCAGGCGGUCUGUUAAGUCAGCGGUCAAAGCCCGGGGCUCAACCCCGGCCCGCCGUUGAAACUGGCAGUCUCGAGUUGGAGAGAAGUAUGCGGAAUGCGCGGUGUAGCGGUGAAAUGCAUAGAUAUCGCGCAGAACUCCGAUUGCGAAGGCAGCAUGCCGGCUCCACACUGACGCUGAGGCACGAAAGCGUGGGUAUCGAACAGGAUUAGAUACCCUAGUAGUC
This 459-nucleotide ribosomal RNA is filed under the name uncultured bacterium. RNAcentral describes it as "partial 16S ribosomal RNA". It matches the Rfam family "Bacterial small subunit ribosomal RNA", at positions 338 to 795 of the family's 1533-position model. The record is from RNAcentral.